GCAAGGAAGUGAUCCUGGUUUUAGACAUGUUCAGCACCUUGAGAAGAGGCAUGAAACCAAAGAAAGAGUCGGGUAAAACUCUAAGGCGGAAGUUUCUUUGGAGUAACAACAUCAAAAGAUUGGGGCAUUCUGGUCUAGCAGGCAGGCUGGACAAUUCAUUAUCCAUUAGAAAAAUCAUCUUUGCUGGUUCCCACUCUUCCUCUGGAGGAGGUUCUGCUAAUCCUGCCCCAGCCAUGAACAAGUAUUCAUGGUGAUCUUCAGGUCUCCACAUAUGGUAUCUUUCUAUGCUUUCAAUUGGUGAUAAUGAAUUACUUCCUAG
Molecule: unclassified non-coding RNA, 319 nt
Filed under: Hevea brasiliensis (rubber tree)
Lineage: Eukaryota; Viridiplantae; Streptophyta; Magnoliopsida; Malpighiales; Euphorbiaceae
Source: RNAcentral